GCCACCGCGGUCACACAAGAAACCCAAGUUAACCGUCAUACGGCGUAAAGAGUGGGCUCAAAACUAUCAUACCCAACUAAGACUAAACCUUGCCCAAGCCGUCAUAAGCCCAAGGCACCCCUAAGCCCAACCUAAAAACGAUCUUAGCAUCCAUGAUUCACCCCACCCCACCAAAGCCAGGGCACAAACUGGGAUUAGAUACCCCACUAUGCCUAGCCUUAAAUCUCGAUGCCCCAUAAACACCACAGACAUCCGCCUGAGAACUACGAGCACAAACGCUUAAAACUCUAAGGACUUGGCGGUGCUCUAAACCCACCUAGAGGAGCCUGUUCUAUAAUCGAUAACCCACGAUCCACCCGACCACUUCUUGCCAAAACAGCCUAUAUACCGCCGUCGCCAGCCCACCUCAUGAGAGCACAGCAGUGAGCCCAACAGCCCACAACCCACUAACAAGACAGGUCGAGGUAUAGCCUAUGAAGUGGAAGAAAUGGGCUACAUUUUCUAGAAUAGAAGACCCAACGAAAGGGGGCUUGAAACCUGCCCCCAGAAGGCGGAUUUAGCAGUAAAGCAGGAUAAUCAAGCCUUCUUUAAGCAGGUCCUAGAGCACGUACACACCGCCCGUCACCCUCCUCACAGGACCUCUAAACACACUAACUAAUACAACAUUAACCACUGAAGACGAGGUAAGUCGUAACAA
RNAcentral lists this ribosomal RNA (697 nucleotides) under Aratinga solstitialis (sun parakeet). Its description in RNAcentral is "partial 12S ribosomal RNA". It matches the Rfam family "Bacterial small subunit ribosomal RNA", at positions 511 to 1494 of the family's 1533-position model. Lineage: Eukaryota; Metazoa; Chordata; Aves; Psittaciformes; Psittacidae. The record is from RNAcentral.